Non-coding RNA from Aegilops tauschii subsp. strangulata, 1692 nucleotides. NCBI's taxonomy places the organism in Eukaryota, Viridiplantae, Streptophyta, Magnoliopsida, Poales, Poaceae. The record is from RefSeq and is a predicted model, not a curated record.
UCCUCUCCUCUCCCAAUCCACCGCAGCCGGCCGGCCUCCCCCUCCCUCCUCUGACCCCCUCCGACCGCUGCCUGCCCCUCCCCGCCGUGGCAGCGUCAGGCCGCGCCGCGAUCCCGAGCGAGACUCUCCGGCCCGAUGGCGUCGGCCGACAUGUUCCCCAACGUCUCCUCCUCCGACGUCAACGCCGCUGCCUCGCAGUCGCAGGAGGCCGCUGGCAAGGCCGUGUUCGGCUUGGACUCCGCCUCCGCCGCGCCCACCACCGCGCGCCGCGAGACCCAACAGGCCACGGCCCCAUCCGCCCCGCCGCCGUCGCGCCAGGUGCGUUCCUCGGUUCCGCCACCCUCCGGCCAUCCCCGCAUCCCUCCCAGCGAGCCCGCGCUGCUUCAGGAUCUCCGCGCGCGGCGGCUGUCCUCGCCGGGACGCGUUCGAGGGUGGACCUCGCCCGCUCGACGGAACGCCAUGGCGGGAACCGGGGUCGUCCGUGGCCUGUUUCGCCCCGAUCUGUCGCUAUGCCCGUAGGGGAUGGGAUGGGAUGGGUGGGCAAUGGAACGGGUCAGGAGUAGAGGGCAAUGCGCUUCUCCUCUGUUUUGCCGGUACUAACGAUAGGCAUUUUGUAGUACUACUAUACUAGUUAUAAGAUGAUUGUAGAUUUGGGGAGCCACCGUGGGAAGAAUUGCACGGGGAGGGGCAGGGAUCGCGGCACCAGAGGAGUCAGCCCCUCGGCUUGAAUUAAAUUGCGGAUUACGCUCUAGGUCAUUCAGCACACUGAACUAUUGUGUCAAAUAUGCCACCAUCCCUUUAAUUUGCACAUCCGGAUCACUACGCUAAACUAAACGGGUGACUGCACAUAGCAACCUUGCCACGUUGAACGGGUGUAUCAACAACUUAGCCUAGUUAUGUUUAUGUGCGGAGUAGUGGCGGAGCUUGAACGAGGAUGCUGAGGGGGCCAAGCUGAUCGACCUCUCCGGCGCGUAGGUACGCGCCGUGGUCUCUGUGAUUUGGGGUAGUGGCCCGAGUGCAGUCGGGCUCGAAUUCUUUGCUAUGGGUUUGGAGGAGUAAUGUUUCUGGUUCUGCAGAUAUUCAAGCUGGCGGACGGAGUGUCUGUGCGUGAGCAGUGAGACGGCGGCUAAGGCUAGCGUGGAAGAGGUUCAUUGAUGAUAGCCAAGGGUUCAUGCUCGGAAACGACUACAUCUUGCUCCAUGUUGUCGGCUCAGCUGAAGUCCUUAAUCAUGAGGAGAUGGGACACGUCGAUUGUUACAGUACACUUGACAGAGGUGAUCGACGCUGACUAGCACGGCCCGGUGGCGCUGUGCUCUUCAACCACUCGGAGACGGACUUCGUCGUGAAGCCUGGUUGCCACGUCGCAUAGAUGAUCGUCCAGGUGAUUUCGACACCGGGAGGUCGCCGAGGUGGGGACCUUGACGCCACCGUCCGGGGGAGGGAGGAUUCGAGUCCAUCGACGUCUGAACUCCGAGCCUAGGUAGAUACAUCUAGAGAAGUGGUCUAUUUAGGUUGGUGGUAGACCACUAGGGAUGGUACCCACCUUACGAUGAUGGUUGUGUGUGUCUGAUGUUAAAUGGAAUCUUGAGAUGGUUCUGUGACAUGUUAAAUGGAAUAUUGAGAUGGUUCAGUGACAUUCGUUUGUUUUGCAUUGGACGUAUUACUAUUCAUGAAUACUACAUCUAAUUUUUA